Molecule: long non-coding RNA, 2069 nt
Organism: Beta vulgaris subsp. vulgaris (sugar beet)
Lineage: Eukaryota; Viridiplantae; Streptophyta; Magnoliopsida; Caryophyllales; Amaranthaceae
Exons: 3
Source: RefSeq, a predicted model, not a curated record
AUUAUUUUUGGUGUCCCCCAUGUGUUGCCUUAUAUAAUAGAGAUAAUUAAAGCCAAAACCAAGAGCAGUUUCUCAUCAUCGUCGCUCCCCUCAAACACCCGAUAGAACACAAUGCAAGCACACUCACCUGAAUUUUGCGCUGAAAUUCAAUCGCCGGCGAUCCGUCGUAUUUACUUGCUUUGAACUUGCCGGCCAUUUCGUCUGGCAGUGGAUUCGUCUUUGUUUUCCAAUUACGUCUUUGCCGGCAUCUGACUUUCGUUCGCCAGUGUUCUAUUACCACCACCACGCCACAACGACACCAAUUCGUCCGCCAGUAUCCUGGUAAUAAACUAAUCAUUCCCAAUUGAUCUCGCCCUCCAACUUGUUUUGUUAGGGUAAUUGAAUUAUAUAUACUUUUAUCGAAAUUCUUGUUUGUUUGUAGAUGUUCAUUAUAAAUUAAAUUGUAUGAUGAAAUUAAAUCUUUUUUAAACUUGUUAGAGUAUGAUGGUACAUGAAUGCUGUGAAAAUCACUUGAAAUGAAAUAAAUCAGAACUUUAUGUUGAGUUGAAGGGCUUCCUUACGUUUUACGGGCCAUUAAUUGAUGGUAUGUAAGGCUUAGAGUUUGAAAUGAUGUGCUAUGGUAAUGGGGAUAGCCAGAGCAUCGAGAUAACCGUGUCAGAUUAUUUUUUGAAACCACGACAUCAGCUUGAAAUUUUCUGGUGAUCUUCCUUGUAUCAAUGUUGGCAAACCAAAGAAGCCUUCAUACUUUUCGAUUGAGGUGAUAACUGAAUUUUGAUAGAACUACAGGAAUCCUUCCAUGUUAUAUGUGACAUAGAUGCUGAACUUCUUUGUACAAUUUAACAGCUAUGUGAUUUGGUUUCGCUGCAAAUUAAAGAUACACGAAGUCUUUGUCUGGAUUACAAAGAGCAAGCCUUGUUGAAAAAUCACGUCAGAAGCCGCAGGAGAGGAUGAAAGUUCUAACUAAUACCUUGACGAAAAGCAACUAUGCGGCAGAUCCGCUGCUCAACUCAUCUGACAUCUCUAUCAAUACUCAAUUUGCUCGGAUUGAUGGCCGCGUCUUGCUACCACCUCAGAUAACAAAUAUCUUUCUGCAUAAUUAGGAUGAGUGGCUUGAUACAAUGACAUUUGUGUUUUUUCACAAGCUAUUGUGUAUUAAAAAAAUGAACAUUUUGAGCCAUGAAUCGAUAAUGGAAAUUUUAUCUACAAAUCAUGUCCUGAUCAGCUGGAUGACAUGAUGUGGUGUCUCUAAUGAUAAUGUAAAAAUCUUUUUGUUUAUUUUUUCACUAUCCUCAAUUUUGCAGCUAAGAGUCGAAAACGGCGAGGAUUUCAGUCCUCGUAAUGGUAGAUGGAACUUCAAUAAUAAGGUACAAUAUACUUGAUUCAUUGUACAUGCUGGGUUAAUAACUGCCUUACUCCUGUCGCCUGUAGAGCUGGCAAUACGUUUGUUAAUGUAGGGAUUGUUCGAAAUAGCUAAACCUUCACAGAACUGGGUAAUUGUCAACUUUUCUGCACGCAUUGAUAUGAACAUCUUAUGCAGAGAUAUUGUGAAGUGUGGUCAGAGGAAAGGAAUGAAAGUAAUUGAUCCAUUUAAAGUCUUUAACGAGAACCCUCAAGGUCGAAGAUUGCCGGCUGCUGCAAGGGUGGAAAAGAUGAUGGAAAGUGUCAAGAAUGGACUCCGUAGUCCAUCUCAGAUGAUUUUGUGCAUUCUUCCUGGGAGGAAGAAUUGUGAUAUCUAUUGUUGUGAAUGUUCUCUUCUUGAUGCCUUAUAUAUUGCUAAUAUGAUCAUUGAGAUAAUUAUGUUGUUUUGGGGGAUCGAAGGGCCAUGGAAGAGGAAGAAUCUAGCUGAAAUUAGUCUUGUGACCCAAUGCAUAGCUCAAAACGGGUAUUAUUUGUAGGGAACAGCUCGACCAACUACGAUGUUGGAAUUUUUUUAUAUUGUGUGAUUCCUAGGUGCUCGAUUAUUUUUUUUGUUGAAUUUUUGGAAUCUUCUAACAUUAUAUUGAUAUGCAUGUGAUUUUGUAGUGAAUGAUAUUGAAUGAAUGAAAUGGUAUUCAAAUUUUAAAGUCAUU